This 240-nucleotide long non-coding RNA is filed under the name Mytilus galloprovincialis (Mediterranean mussel). Lineage: Eukaryota; Metazoa; Mollusca; Bivalvia; Mytilida; Mytilidae. The record is from RNAcentral.
CAAGAAAUACAGGUUCGCCCAUUUUAUUGAAUUUGUUUUUUUAAACUCUCUGCAAGUGAGGGAUAUGAUUGUGUCACGGUAGUAUUUCCUGGCACAUAAGGGAUAAUGAUAGCCUUUUCACAAUCUACACCUCUUUCUAACACUGCCAAAAAUCUACACACAAAGUCGUUUAAAGUACUUUGUAAUAAUAUUCAUUAUAAUUUAAAAGCUGCAAACUAAUUAAUCAUCAAAACAUAAAAG